Molecule: non-coding RNA, 559 nt
Organism: Drosophila melanogaster (fruit fly)
Lineage: Eukaryota; Metazoa; Arthropoda; Insecta; Diptera; Drosophilidae
Source: Ensembl
ACUAAAGACGACACGACAUGGAUCUGCGUACUAAAAAAUGGUUGGACGGGAAUAUUCUUCAAAAUUUUGUUAAAUAAAAAUACAAUUUAGUGCGGGUGGGUGCGGAUGGUUUUAUUUAAAUUUUUGGCGGAUUACCUUUGUAGCCUUGGCCCAAACAAUUUAUUCGUGGUAAAGUAUUAGCACAUUUUUUGUAAAGGGAAAUUCCUUAGAGGAAAUAUAAACGAAAAGGUAAGGAAAUUGGCUCAUAAAUAAGCUUCCUGAUAAUCUAAUUUUAUGGUGCUAUAAAAAUUCUUCAUAAAGGAAAUAAAGAUCUUUAGUGAACUGAUGACUCAAGCUCACUCAUGGUUUUUUCGAUUAUAAUGGUGAAUGGUAAUGGUGACGCUCACUGGACGUGGACACAAAGCACAAAAGCCGGAUUGUGGAGUUCGACUUUACCCCAUAACCAUACAACCACAACCAACGCAGACGAGUAAACAACACACAAACAAAAUGCGCAUUAAUGUCUAUAGUUGCCUUAGAGAGUUUUAUUUACAGAGUUUAAUAAUUAUGAUACAUUUAG